UGACUGAGUGGCGGACGGGUGAGUAACGCGUGGGCAACCUGCCCCAUACAGGGGGAUAACAGCCGGAAACGGCUGCUAAAACCGCAUAAGCGCACAAGGGCCGCAUGGCCUGGUGUGAAAAACUCCGGUGGUAUGGGAUGGGCCCGCGUCUGAUUAGCUGGUUGGCGGGGUAAAGGCCCACCAAGGCGACGAUCAGUAGCCGGCCUGAGAGGGUGGACGGCCACAUUGGGACUGAGACACGGCCCAAACUCCUACGGAAGGCAGCAG
RNAcentral lists this ribosomal RNA (267 nucleotides) under uncultured bacterium. RNAcentral describes it as "partial 16S ribosomal RNA". It matches the Rfam family "Bacterial small subunit ribosomal RNA", at positions 88 to 354 of the family's 1533-position model. The record is from RNAcentral.